Molecule: ribosomal RNA, 497 nt
Filed under: uncultured bacterium
Lineage: Bacteria
Description: partial 16S ribosomal RNA
Rfam family: Bacterial small subunit ribosomal RNA
Source: RNAcentral
GAUGAACGCUGGCGGCGUGCCUAAUACAUGCAAGUCGAGCGAACAGACGAGGAGCUUGCUCCUCUGACGUUAGCGGCGGACGGGUGAGUAACACGUGGAUAACCUACCUAUAAGACUGGGAUAACUUCGGGAAACCGGAGCUAAUACCGGAUAAUAUAUUGAACCGCAUGGUUCAAUAGUGAAAGACGGUUUUGCUGUCACUUAUAGAUGAAUCCGCGCCGCAUUAGCUAGUUGGUAAGGUAACGGCUUACCAAGGCAACGAUGCGUAGCCGACCUGAGAGGGUGAUCGGCCACACUGGAACUGAGACACGGUCCAGACUCCUACGGGAGGCAGCAGUAGGGAAUCUUCCGCAAUGGGCGAAAGCCUGACGGAGCAACGCCGCGUGAGUGAUGAAGGUCUUCGGAUCGUAAAACUCUGUUAUUAGGGAAGAACAAAUGUGUAAGUAACUAUGCACGUCUUGACGGUACCUAAUCAGAAAGCCACGGCUAACUACGUG